AAUCAGGUGUUCCUCCUCCUGCAGAGAGGAACCAACCUGAACCUGAACCUGGACCCAGCUGUGUGUCCUUAAAGAGCGACUGGUCAAAGGAUAUUGGUGAUGACUUUAAAAUAGGAGUUUCAUCUAGCAAAGAUGGUUCUCUGGAUUUGUAAGCCCAGCAUUCAAAUCAUGUAUUGAAGCUUCAGUUUCACACUCUCAUCACUACUUUUGUCCUUUUUGGCAUAUAAUAAAACCCAAAGUUUGAAAAUGCACCUGUGCCUGUUUGCUCUUGGCAGCUUGGUCCCUGAUACCUGGUGACACGUUUGUCUUCAUGAAGGUUUAUGGAUCAUUGUUAUAUCUCACUCUGGGCUGUGAGCAAUAAACUUUCAAUCCAAGGUUUAAAGAUAUUUUCUGGAAUAAAAAAUGCAACAAAGUGUAAAACAAGGAGCUCACAUGUCUGUAACAGUUUCCUGUCAGACACCAGAACUAAAAGAGUUUUUUGUCUUGUUUACAGAAAAUCACUGAAAUGUUCAGUCAGUCUGUGGAUUGAUACUCUAAAUGUUCCAGUGUUUUAUGAUUUUUAUUUAUUUAUUUAUUUAUUUGUAGUGUUGUAAACUGUAAAGCACUUUAGUGCUAUAGAGUCAAAGUCUACUUACUGAUGUGUUUUUUAAGGUUCCUAGCUUUAUGGAGCACUUUUUUUUAGAGCAAUAAACUCUUUUUCCAGGCUAAAUGAGUAUCUUUCAAGUUAGUGAGAUGCCAUUUCCUCUCCAGGUUAUCUGCUUUAAGCUGCACAUUUGUGAAUUAUACCACAGAGUCAGGCAUUUAUGGUCCAUGUUGUCUCAUGUCCAGGCCUUUCUAUGUUAUCUGUUAUCUACAAUCUCAUUGUACAUCCUCUA
This is a long non-coding RNA of Archocentrus centrarchus (flier cichlid), 875 nucleotides long. RefSeq lists it as uncharacterized. The transcript is spliced from 3 exons. NCBI's taxonomy places the organism in Eukaryota, Metazoa, Chordata, Actinopteri, Cichliformes, Cichlidae. The record is from RefSeq and is a predicted model, not a curated record.